UCGUGCCUACGGGAGGCAGCAGUGGGGGAUAUUGCACAAUGGGGGGAACCCUGAUGCAGCGACGCCGCGUGGGUGAAGAAGCGCCUCGGCGCGUAAAGCCCUGUCAGCAGGGAAGAAAAUGACGGUACCUGAAGAAGAAGCCCCGGCUAACUACGUGCCAGCAGCCGCGGCAAUACGUAGGGGGCAAGCGUUAUCCGGAUUUACUGGGUGUAAAGGGGGCUCAGACGGCGAUGCAAGCCAGGAGU
This 245-nucleotide ribosomal RNA is filed under the name uncultured bacterium. RNAcentral's name for it is "partial 16S ribosomal RNA". It matches the Rfam family "Bacterial small subunit ribosomal RNA", at positions 333 to 595 of the family's 1533-position model. The record is from RNAcentral.